This 4685-nucleotide unclassified non-coding RNA is filed under the name Priapulus caudatus. RNAcentral's name for it is "striatin-3-like, transcript variant X5". The record is from RNAcentral. Lineage: Eukaryota; Metazoa; Priapulida; Priapulimorpha; Priapulimorphida; Priapulidae.
ACUUAGUUUCAUAAUGUGUUGGUGUUUGCAAGUCGUCAUUUGUUUCUCUUCGAAGACUCUAAACGCGUUUUGACUGCUGGAAAUGGGGGGUUAUUAUAAUCUGUCAAGUUAUAUGCAAUUUUGAGUGAGGUUUUGCGUGUAAACCUUAUCAUGAAGAGAGAAACAAUGAUUUUAUGAACGACGAUAGUGGUGCGUACAUUCCCAUCGUGCAUUGCAAUCUGCUGUAAACAUCUGGUAUAAAUGGCUGACGGCCAAUGAAGAAAUGGUGGAAGAAGGUCCAGCCGGAAACACGCAAAUUUCGAACGGUCCUAACUCCCAGGCCGGUCCGUCCAUUACUGGGUUUGGUGUCAAGGGUGUAGACGAUCAAGUGCCUCGAACUCUGCCGUAUUCUAUUCCGGGAAUCUUGCACUUCAUCCAACAUGAAUGGGCACGGUUCGAGAUGGAAAGGUCACAGUGGGAAGUGGAAAAGGCCGAACUUCAGGCGAGGAUCGCAUUCCUGCAGGGAGAGCGACAGGGCCAGGAGAACCUGAAGAGGGAUCUUGUGCGCCGCAUCAAGAUGCUUGAGUAUGCCUUGAAGCAGGAGAGGGCCAGGUUCCACAAGUUGAAGUAUGGUGCAGACAUGCUGCCAGACAAUAAAGAGUUGGAGGAAGCAGAGGACCUCAACGGAGAUAACUAUCUGACAGGUGUUGAGAAUCAUUCGUGGAAGCAGGGCAGACAACUACUGAGACAGUACCUGCAGGAGAUCGGUUACACGGACACCAUCAUCGAUGUCAGGUCAGCGCGGGUCAGGCAGCUGCUGGGCCUGUCUCCCAACAACAAUGACCUUGGCAAGGAGCUCGCCACUCUGCCUGCCGUCAACGGAGACCAGACGACAAAGAGGGUCAGCGAUGGCCAGGGCAGAAGGGUGCAGGCUAAGAAGCAUCCAGCCACGCUGGGAGAGGGCGCUCUGCUGGAGAGUGAGGCGGCCGUCAUCGAUACCUUCAGCUUCCUGUCGACGGAGAACGACUUGGAAGUCGAGGAUGACGAGGAGAAUGAGGCGGAUCUCAUAGAUGAGACUCUGGCUGAUGAACUGGAUAGGAUAGAUGUAAAGAAACCAAAGCCCAAGGGCAUGACCAGGAGCAACGAGGGCAUGGCGCGCAUGGACGACGUGCUAGCCAACGAGACCGAGGAGGCACUCUCGCAGUUCGACUUUCUCGGAUCGGACGGCGCAGACGGCGCGGGUGAGGCGAGGACGCAGGGCGACGGCACCGAGUGGGAGAAGAGCGAGUUAGCAGCUGCACCGCCCCCUGGCGAUAACGAUUGGAACGUAGACGAGCAGAUGCUGAGCAGGCUCAAACAAGAGUACAGCAAAGACAGCAAACAUUCGCGCAACAUGCAGAGGCCUAAGCGCUCGACCCUGCAGGCGAUGCUUGCCAGUCUGGGUGGAAACGAUGAUAUUGGGCUGCCCAGCGUCACAGCCCCAUGCGCGGGUCCGGCACCCGCCGCCGCCGCCGCCGCCGCCGCCACCGCCUCCGACAGUUUGUCAAAUAGCCUCCCUGCAGAUGACACUGCUGUUGAUGAAGCAGCUGGACCAAACGAUGCCAACAUCCCGUUUCCAGCAGGACCGCGGCGCCCCCUGCCAGCCGAAGAAGGUUUUGAGCCAGGUUUUGGCCUCGGAGAACUGGCAGGGCUGACAAUACAGAACGAUUGCGAGCUAUCUUACGAUCUUUCAUCGAGCAAGGAUGCCCUACGCAAGACGUGGAAUGCCAAGUACACGCUGAGGAGUCACUUUGAUGGCAUCCGAGCGCUAGUCUUCCACCCCGUCGACCCUGUACUCAUCACUGCCUCCGAGGACCACACGCUGAAGCUGUGGAACCUGGACAAGACCGUACCCGCAAAGAAAACUGCCUCAUUAGAUGUAGAGCCUGUCUACACAUUCAGAGGGCACACGGGCGCUGUCCUGUCAUUGGCCAUGUCUGUGUCAGGCGAGGAAUGCUUCAGUGGAGGUAUUGACUCGAGCAUUCGCUGCUGGAAGAUCCCCAGCUCCAAUGUUGACCCCUAUGAUAUGUAUGACCCAUCAGUCUUAGCCGCAACACUUACUGGUCACACUGGUGCUGUCUGGGGCCUCUCUGUGCACAGCAGUAAUAACCGGCUACUGUCCUGUGCAUCGGACGGCACCGUGCGAUUAUGGCAACCAUACACUAAAGAACCACUACUGAAAACGUUCACUAGUGAAAAUGGUCUCAUACCCACCUCGAUAGACUUUGUGCGGUCAGAUCCGAUACAGAUGGUCGCCGCGUAUAGCGAUUGUGAUGCAGUCAUCUACGACUUGGAGACCUCUCAGCCAGUCAUUCACCUGGAGAGCAAGGAUUUGUCAGAGCCGGGUGUUCUGUCAACGAUACAUCAGGUGGUUAGUCACCCGACCCUGCCCAUUACAGUGACAGCACAUGAGGACAGGCAUAUCCGCUUCUUUGACAAUAAUACAGGUAAGAUGGUUCACACGAUGGUGGCACACCUGGAUGCCGUGACGAGUCUCGCCAUCGAUCCCAACGGCUUGUACCUGCUAUCAGGAAGCCAUGACUGUUCAAUAAGACUAUGGAAUCUGGAUAGCAAGACAUGUGUACAAGAGAUCACAUCACAUCGCAAGAAGUUUGAUGAAUCCAUAUAUGAUGUGGCUUUCCAUCCGUCUCGACCCUACAUAGCAAGUGCGGGAGCAGACGCGCUCGCGAAAGUAUUCGUAUGACAUCAUCGUUGACAUUGCCUAAGUCUGUGACAUUAUUUAUCACGUGAUCACCAAUGGUGAAGCAAGUCGAUUAUGAUCAGUCAUCGUUUGCUGUAAUGAUACUUAGGUAUGACAGUAUUGUUAUGACGGUAUAAAUAUAUUAAAGGACGUGUCACUUGUAAAAUAUGAAAUGCACAGUUGAAUAUGCUCACUGCCUCUGGAGUGUAGGUUGGCAUGCCAGUUUUCUUCCCCUGCCAGCAGACUGGCCGUUCCUGCCGACUCGGAUCAGCUCACCACAAAAUGACCUAAACCAGGACAUUAGGUAGUCAUUGUACUACUCGGGCGAGUUUGCAAGAAAAUACUGGAAGUGGAACUGUUGUUUGCACACGUCACUUUGAGUGACAUAACGGUAUUCUGACGACUACGUGCACAAAGUGCUUGACAUUACACACAGCAUGAUCGCCUUUCGAAGGUUGGGACACGUAGGAGGAGCUUGUGUGCUUCGGCGUCUAUGUGAAGUUUACGAGCAUGCGUGAUAGACAUACGAACAUUGUGUGAUGUAAGGUGGUUGAGUCACAAUGCUUGUGAAUUAAGACAAUGCUGUUUUUAUAAUGAUAUCAACGAGGGAAAAGAAGAGCUGGAAGGGGAGAGAGGGGAGAAAGUAAUGUACAGGAGUGGGAGAGCGGAGGAGAGAGGGAGUGAGAGAGAAUGCUAAUAAUUUGCUGACGAAACCCAAUAACUAUGCUUCUUUUGACACCAGGUGGUGUGAUUUCGCCGGAGAUAUGAUAGCUUUAAUAGACUUCAGGGUGUCUUCCAUACUUGUGAGGUCUCAUCAUGUGAUUCAUGCUAAACACGAAAACUAUAUAUACACUGUAAUAAGUGAAUGGUAGAUAAGUGGGUAGCACAUACACUAGCUAUAACAAUCAAAAUAUCCAAUAAUGUGGAUAGAUAUGUUACGAUGUGUUUUUUGGGGUUGUAUAUAAUAACAUUGAGGGUAAGACUAAUGGAAAUGGUUUUUAUCUGCAAGUCUCGUCCAGAAAUAAACCUGCUAUAGUUUCUGAUUAUACUCAUGUGAAGAAAUAUGACAAAUCCAAACUGGUAGAACGAAUGUUUUCUCUUGGUGACUGCUAGAAUGUUCGAUCUUACAAAGGCACUCAUAGUACUUGGACCUACAGUCUGACAGUUGCCAGAGAAUAAAAUAACAAGUGUUAUUCUAGCAAUGAAUAUUUAUAUGUUGUUCCCAUCUGUGUCUAUCGUUGCAAGUAAGCAGCAUGAUAACGAAGCGACGAUUGCAGUGACAGAGUUGACUGCUCAGUCUCAAGUUGAGUGCUAGGCGUUAUGAUUUUACCUGUAAGCUUUCAAUUAUUUAAAACAAAAUUCAUUCGCGUCACGAUGGGUACGGCACUGUGCCAACGUGUGUAUACAGCAGACAGCAUUCGCGAGCCAGGGACUAAUGUUCACAUUGUUUAGCGACAGCACUCGUCAUUGAUUCCUCAUACAUUUCCCAGAAGCAAAUUCUAUUUCUUGUCCGUUUAUGGCACGUUACAGGAAUGAACCAACCUGCAUGUGUCUCGCAGUAGCAGCCUGCCGUUACUGAUAGGAAGUCGUGUCCUAGUUCGACACACUUCAACUUAUAUUCAGUAGGCGUGUUAAGAUGGGCAAUUAUGGAUGUGGGUGCAUGCUCCAGUAAACAAAUUUGUGGUCACUGUUUAAUGAAACCAUCAAUGACCACUGUCACGCAGGUGAAGUGACAUUGCUUGCACCCGCAUUAUGGGGUGUGUCAACUGUUGGGUGAGUGGAGGACAUGCCUCGUAUCAUCACAUUGUCUAAAAGCACUUUCUUGUGCUUUCAUCAGUCGAUCCCUAUAGUAACCAGAGACUACUGCGUCGCGACUCGUUGAGCAUGUGAUUGUUAACUAUACAGAAGUCUGCGUACAGACAUCGCAGGCUGUAAUAAAUCUUAAGUGUUUAGUAAUAUCAUGUAA